This is an RNA transcript of Argiope bruennichi, 542 nucleotides long. RefSeq lists it as uncharacterized. The transcript is spliced from 3 exons. NCBI's taxonomy places the organism in Eukaryota, Metazoa, Arthropoda, Arachnida, Araneae, Araneidae. The record is from RefSeq and is a predicted model, not a curated record.
AGUACAGUAGACUCCCGAUUAUCCGCGCCUGACGCACUAAGUUUUCUUUUUUGCUUCCAAGCAAAGGGAAAAUGCUUCCAAAGCAAGAAACAAACAUGACUGAUGACUGAUUUCUUCAAAAAGGUGUAGUUUUACAGUUAUGCUUUUGUAAUUACAUAAUACAUUACAGUAUUAAAACAGUACAUAGGUAUUCAUUUUUCUGUGUAUCCUUGACGCCUCUCGUUUUUCUACUGUUCAUUCUUUGCUUCCCUUAUAUAUGUUCGACGAAGAAGUUUCACUGCACACCGGACAUCUGCAGGUUCAUGCACUGUGAAGUAAAAAGGGUUUGUGAAUACCCGAAUUCGUACAUGAAAAGGAAGGGUGGUCUUUGUGGAUGUUGCGAUGAAUGCAUUGUGGUGAGAUUUAAGGGUGAAAUGUGCUCAGCUGUUAUUGAUCAGAUGUACCCUCCGAAAAUUGUAUGUGCUGCUGGUCUGAUAUGCGAUGAAUACACACUUAGGUGUAAGAAAAUAUUGCCAUAAUGGGAAAAAUGGUUUCCUUCGAAG